UACGUAGGGUGCGAGCGUUAAUCGGAAUUACUGGGCGUAAAGCGUGCGUAGGCGGUUCGUUAAGUUCGUUGUGAAAGCCCCGGGCUCAACCUGGGAAUGGCAAUGGAAACUGGCGGGCUUGAGUAUGGCAGAGGGGGGUGGAAUUCCGCGUGUAGCAGUGAAAUGCGCAGAUAUCGGGAGGAACACCAAUGGCGAAGGCAGCUCGCUGGGACGGUACUGACGCUGAGACGCGAAAGCGUGGGGAGCAAACAGG
RNAcentral lists this ribosomal RNA (253 nucleotides) under uncultured bacterium. RNAcentral's name for it is "partial 16S ribosomal RNA". It matches the Rfam family "Bacterial small subunit ribosomal RNA", at positions 524 to 776 of the family's 1533-position model. The record is from RNAcentral.